AGGAGAAAGCUUGCUUUCUUGCUGACGAGUGGCGGACGGGUGAGUAAUGCUUGGGAAUCUGGCUUAUGGAGGGGGAUAACGACGGGAAACUGUCGCUAAUACCGCGUAGUGUCGAGAGACGAAAGUGCGGGACUGAGAGGCCGCAUGCCAUAGGAUGAGCCCAAGUGGGAUUAGGUAGUUGGUGGGGUAAAGGCCUACCAAGCCUGCGAUCUCUAGCUGGUCUGAGAGGAUGACCCAGCCACACUGGAACUGAGACACGGUCCAGACUCCUACGGGAGGCAGCAGUGGGGAAUAUUGCGCAAUGGGGGGAACCCUGACGCAGCCAUGCCGCGUGAAUGAAGAAGGCCUUCGGGUUGUAAAGUUCUUUCGGUAUUGAGGAAGGUUGAUGUGUUAAUAGCACAUCAAAUUGACGUUAAAUACAGAAGAAGCACCGGCUAACUCCGUGCCAGCAGCCGCGGUAAUACGGAGGGUGCGAGCGUUAGUCGGAAUAACUGGGCGUAAAGGGCACGCAGGCGGUUAUUUAAGUGAGGUGUGAAAGCCCCGGGCUUAACCUGGGAAUUGCAUUUCAGACUGGGUAACUAGAGUACUUUAGGGAGGGGUAGAAUUCCACGUGUAGCGGUGAAAUGCGUAGAGAUGUGGAGGAAUACCGAAGGCGAAGGCAGCCCCUUGGGAAUGUACUGACGCUCAUGUGCGAAAGCGUGGGGAGCAAACAGGAUUAGAUANCCUGGUAGUCCACGCUGUAAACGCUGUCGAUUUGGGGGUUGGGGUUUAACUCUGGCG
RNAcentral lists this ribosomal RNA (780 nucleotides) under uncultured Haemophilus sp. RNAcentral describes it as "bacterial SSU rRNA". It matches the Rfam family "Bacterial small subunit ribosomal RNA", at positions 70 to 844 of the family's 1533-position model. The record is from RNAcentral. Lineage: Bacteria; Pseudomonadati; Pseudomonadota; Gammaproteobacteria; Pasteurellales; Pasteurellaceae.